AUAAGAGGUCCCACCUGCCCUGUGACUUUAAGUUUAACGGCCGCGGUAUCCUAACCGUGCGAAGGUAGCGCAAUCAAUUGCCUUUUAAAUGAAGGCCUGUAUGAAUGGUAUAACGAGGGUUUAACUGUCUCUUUUUUCUAGUCAGUUAAACUGAUCUGUCCGUGCAGAAGCGGACAUUACUAUACAAGACGAGAAGACCCUAUGGAGCUUUAGACACCAGCCAACUGUGAAAUAGCGAUUAAUACACCUUAUUCCCAAACAUCCGCAGCCUCUGGUAAAGUGUCUUAGGUUGGGGCGACCACGGGAGAAAGAAAAGCUCCCGAGCAGAACAGGGUUCACCCUGGAACUAAGAACGACAGCUCUAAGUCACAAAAUAUUUGACUGAAAUGAUCCGGACUAACAACCGAUUAACGAACCAAGUUACCCUAGGGAUAACAGCGCAAUCCUCUCCCAGAGUCCCUAUCGACGAGGGGGUUUACGACCUCGAUGUUGGAUCAGGACAUCCUAAUGGUGCAGCCGCUAUUAAGGGUUCGUUUGUUCAACGAUUAAAGUCCUACGUGAUCUGAGUUCAGACCGGAGUAAUCCAGGUCGGUUUCUAUCUGUAA
Molecule: ribosomal RNA, 605 nt
Filed under: Encrasicholina heteroloba (shorthead anchovy)
Lineage: Eukaryota; Metazoa; Chordata; Actinopteri; Clupeiformes; Engraulidae
Description: partial 16S ribosomal RNA
Rfam family: Bacterial large subunit ribosomal RNA
Source: RNAcentral